This 460-nucleotide ribosomal RNA is filed under the name Capnocytophaga granulosa. RNAcentral's name for it is "bacterial SSU rRNA". It matches the Rfam family "Bacterial small subunit ribosomal RNA", at positions 28 to 491 of the family's 1533-position model. Lineage: Bacteria; Pseudomonadati; Bacteroidota; Flavobacteriia; Flavobacteriales; Flavobacteriaceae. The record is from RNAcentral.
GAUGAACGCUAGCGGCAGGCCUAACACAUGCAAGUCGAGGGAGAAGCCUUUCGGGGCAGAAACCGGCGCACGGGUGCGUAACGCGUAUGCAACCUACCUUUCACAGGGGGAUAGCCCGAAGAAAUUUGGAUUAAUACCCCAUAAUAUUGUUGGAUGGCAUCAUCUGAUAAUUAAAACUGCGGUGGUGAAAGAUGGGCAUGCGUCCUAUUAGCUAGUUGGAGUGGUAACGGCACCCCAAGGCUACGAUAGGUAGGGGUCCUGAGAGGGAGAUCCCCCACACUGGUACUGAGACAGGGACCAGACUCCUACGGGAGGCAGCAGUGAGGAAUAUUGGUCAAUGGUCGGAAGACUGAACCAGCCAUGCCGCGUGCAGGAAGAAUGCCUUAUGGGUUGUAAACUGCUUUUAUAUGGGAAGAAUAAGGUGUACGUGUACAUUGAUGACGGUACCAUAUGAAUAAGC